Long non-coding RNA from Corapipo altera (White-ruffed manakin), 568 nucleotides. RefSeq lists it as uncharacterized. The transcript has 6 exons. NCBI's taxonomy places the organism in Eukaryota, Metazoa, Chordata, Aves, Passeriformes, Pipridae. The record is from RefSeq and is a predicted model, not a curated record.
ACUGGUCUUCUGAUGGAAAUUUCAAAAAUUCGGAUAAGUGGCAAAUUUUCAGCCAGCUCAAGGAAAUCGAAAUAGGAAAGGGCAGCUUUGCAAGGAGAAACUAAGGCACCAGUGAGGAAGAAGAGCUUUCAGAGUUAACUAAGAGUUAACUGGCUACAUUUCAACUGUCACCAUUGUCUUACAUCUACAUAGAGAGCAGAGAGAUCCAGAGAGGUUGUCCCACUCUCAGGUGGAUGGUUGCUCUUCAGCAUUUGGCCAAGGUCAGACAGGCAUUCAACACUUCUCACAAAUAACUACACUUUGCACUUCUGUAACACACAUCCGGAGACCCCACAGGGCAACGGCAAAGAUCCUUCUAGCCGGUGCUGGAGUGGAAAGUACCUGGUGUGAUGCAGCUUCUCUGUGUGGCGAACGUACCUGGGAGGAGAGCACCACUGCAUCCCGUGGGCUUCCAGGAGAUGGGGUGGUGUGAAUCCCUGCCAUGGUGACAGCAUGGCAGGGAACCACUGGAUGAGUCUGCCUUCCCAGUGCUGGGUAUGCUCACUCCCACUGGCCAGGACACUGAGGA